Molecule: ribosomal RNA, 258 nt
Filed under: uncultured bacterium
Lineage: Bacteria
Description: partial 16S ribosomal RNA
Rfam family: Bacterial small subunit ribosomal RNA
Source: RNAcentral
AAGAAGCAAGACCGUGAGGUGGAGCAAAACUCAAAAACUUGUCUCAGUUCGGAUUGUAGGCUGAAACUCGCCUACAUGAAGCUGGAGUUGCUAGUAAUCGCGAAUCAGCAUGUCGCGGUGAAUACGUUCCCGGGCCUUGUACACACCGCCCGUCACACCAUGAGAGUUGGCAAUACCCAACGUACGUGAUCUAACCCGCAAGGGAGGAAGCGUCCUAAGGUAGGGUCAGCGAUUGGGGUGAAGUCGUAACAAGGUACC